GUUGGCGCCGCAGGUGGAGGAUUAACCAAGUGAGCCACGGCGCUGGCCCCUUAUGUUUCAUCUUAAUAUUAGGAACUACCAGUCUUGGGGUGACCAAGAUCUUCCCAUGUUUCCACAUUUCCUGUUUUCAAUAUUGGCCCUGAUGGUCUCACUCGGCAGGUGGCAAUGUCUCUUCAUUCUCUGAGUGAUGUCAUCUAAUUUUUCUUCCAUUGACACACUAAUAUGAACUAAAUUAAUGCUACUCAAAAUAAGUAAUGUAAGUAUUUAAGCAACAACUUGGGAAUAAUACAAUUGAGUGUGGCAGUUUGGAGCAGUAAGGUCCUUCACAGGUCUAGGUAUGACUUUCAUUUGUGGAUAAGAUAGUAUGUAAUGAUUUAAGACCACAUUAAAGGGUUUAGAGUCAGCAGUAGAGACCAGAAAGAAAACAGUGGGCUAAGCAGAAAAGGAAGAUGAUGAUGGAAAUCAUUCAGCAGGUUCAAGGAUUUGUCCUUCAUACCUGUAAGGCACAUCCUGGUAAUUCCCAGAAGGAACUGGAAGAAACCUUUUCAAAAUCAAAGCUCUUAUAAUGACCUAAAAAGCAUUGCAUUAAUUUCUUGUUGAUGCUGUACAAAUUUAAGCAUACCUAAGGGCUGUUGUCUUGCUAAGUGACAUAUAUACGGCCCCAGACAAAUUUUUAGAAAGAGAAAUAAUUUGGAGCCAUAUAAAUGGAUAUACUGUCAGUAAGAAGGUAUUUGGGUGGGAAAUGUGGGAAGGGGGAUAUUUUAAACAGAAGUAUUCACAACACCACAUUGCAUUGUUUU
Molecule: long non-coding RNA, 800 nt
Filed under: Oryctolagus cuniculus (rabbit)
Lineage: Eukaryota; Metazoa; Chordata; Mammalia; Lagomorpha; Leporidae
Description: lncRNA (ENSOCUG00000039405.1)
Source: RNAcentral